RNAcentral lists this non-coding RNA (2265 nucleotides) under Pan troglodytes (chimpanzee). Lineage: Eukaryota; Metazoa; Chordata; Mammalia; Primates; Hominidae. The record is from RNAcentral.
GCUGCGGGAAAUUGCUGGAGAAGGGGGAGCCAAGCUGGAGUAAGGCUGGCGGUCUCCCGCAUUGACUUCAUAACCAAGUUCUGGGUCCCUGCCACUGGAGUGCCUGAUGAGACAAAACGGCUCCUCGUCCUGCAUCCCCGCUGCUACUUCCAGAAUUCAGGCCUCGUGGCCUGGAGCCUGCACUGUUCCAUGAGCCCCCUGACCAACCUGGAGGCCUCUGUCUUUCUUCCCUCGGUGAGAUGCGCCUACUUCUCCCUGGAGAAGCUCGAGGAAGCAGAAAUGCUGGAGAUGAGCUGCUCCUCACUCUCACUCCUGGGUGUGCUGGGCAGUGGGGUGCAAUGCGCACGUAGGUGCACACUCUCCCUGGGCGGCAGCGAGCAGCAGAGGUCUGAUCUGUGGUCGGAUGAGGAGAGGAAGUGCAAGUAAAGCAGCUGCAGCGACCCAGCACACCCUGCCUGCAUGGCGCUGUGCUGCACCUUCACUCUGGUCACGGGUCUGGCAGUCGGCUCACCAAUUCCUCCCGCUUCCCUGGGACUCGCCGGCUUUUAGCACUGCAAUUCACUCAGCAAACUGGGACUGUUGGUCACCCUACCUGGCAGCCAGUGAUAAGGUGAGGGCCACUCCUGGGAGGGAGGACACCUGUGGGGAAAAUUCUUGUGUUAUUUAUUUCUCCUUCAGGAUAGGGUGCCUGCAGCGCUUCAUGGGAGGGGGUGGGCUGAUGCUGCGGACUCAGAAGUUUCAAGGGCAUCUGGGGAGACCAGAUAUUCAGAGACCUUCUCCUAGAUGUGCCUGUUCCAUGUAUCAGGGACGCAGGUUUUCCCAACAGGGCUGGUGUCGUUGGCAUGACAGACCUGCCUUGGCUGAGCGUUCACCCGUCUUUGGAGUUCAGCCACCUUAGCAAGUCCUGGGUUUGUUCUUCAGACUUUGCUGCUCGCCCAUUGCCUGGAUCGGGGGCUACUUUGUAAACCACCAGGAAGACUCCAGUGUUUCUGCUUAAUUUUUAGAUGUUUGUUAAUUGCUCUUGGUCUCUCAUUAAUCCCCUGUGGGUCAUCCAGGAAACAUACUCACCACUGUCUGUUCUCUGAGUUUUCAUUUCCAGGCAUCCGCCCUGCCUGGAUCUCCUCACCUGCCAGGAACUUCCUCUCCACAAGCCGGCCAUCCCAGCAAAAGUUCUAACACCAAAGACGACUGCCAGGGGCAUGAAGGGGAUGUGCUUCCAGGGCAUUUGCUGGCAGGGCGUCUGGUGAUUUCUUGGUAUUGGUGUGAGCAUAGCCUGGCAGGAGAGGGCAGAUCUCCGUGCAAAGUAUGUCAGAAAGCAGAUGGAAGCCAGGCCCCCUCCUGAAAGAGGCUCCUUGAAGAUAAUUCUAACAUCUUUGUCAUCAGUGUUGACAUCUCUUGAUUGUAUCCUGUCAUUCCAUUUGAGAUCUUCCUGGUUCUGGCUGGCAUCCUCUGACAUCACUCCAGCAGAAGAAAGGGAAGGAACACGCUGCAUUACUGCGUGGUCACAAGGUCCCCGUCUGAUCUGCCUUCACUCCACCUUUCAGAGUCUUAUGUUUGUUUUGUGUAUAUUAUCAAGGGGUUUUAGGUCACUUAGUCGGAAGAAUAGGGAAAAGUAUGUCUACUCCAGCUUUAUGGAAGUGGAAUUCUCCUGAGAACCUUUUUUUGAUACAAAAUAUAUACUUGUGCAUAUUUUGUAUCAAAAUAUAUAAUGUACAUGUCCCUUUUGUACAUGUACAUAAAUUGUAUAUAAGUAUUCAGGGUUAUAAAAAUAACCAAAGACACCAAAAACUGCCACAGGUGGAUUUGAGAAGACGUUGAAAUGCCUCGCUGCUAAGACAUGCUCAUUCUUGACAGGCUGGGAACCCUGAAAGCUGUAGUGUCACCACUGCCCUGUCCUGUACCUACCUAUCUUUUCACUCAUUUCCUCCAAGCUCAGGUUUUCAGUUUGGGGUAUGUGCCACCUAACAGUGAGCUGUGGAACUGCAGCACAAUCAUCAAAUUCAAAAAAGACAAGGACAUGUUGCUCAGUUUUUAAGAUACGCCAUAGAUGGAGUAAACCAAAACCUUUGAUUCCAGAUCCUUAACCCUGAUUAAAAACAACACAACCCUUCAUGUUGAUUUAAAACAUCCCUUGCAAAAGAUGGUUUGAAUAUUCCAAGUUGGAAAUACCCAGUCUUUUAAAGUUACAGCACCCUUUUUGAUACAAAAAAUGUGCAUGACAGAAAUUGUACAGUGAGUAGUGUUAUAAAAAUAACCAAACACACC